RNAcentral lists this ribosomal RNA (119 nucleotides) under Aegilops tauschii subsp. strangulata. The record is from RNAcentral. Lineage: Eukaryota; Viridiplantae; Streptophyta; Magnoliopsida; Poales; Poaceae.
GGAUGCGAUCAUACCAGCACUAAAGCACCGGAUCCCAUCAGAACUCCGAAGUUAAGCGUGCUUGGGCGAGAGUAGUACUAGGAUCGGUGACCUCCUGGGAAGUCCUCGUGUUACAUUCC